GACGGAGGAUGCAAGUGUUAUCCGGAAUCACUGGGCGUAAAGCGUCUGUAGGCGGUUUAAAAAGUCCACUGUUAAAAAUUGAAGCUUAACUUCAAAGAUGCCGUGGAAACUUUUAAACUUGAGUAUGGUAGGGGUAGAGGGAAUUUCCAGUGGAGCGGUGAAAUGCGUAGAUAUUGGAAAGACCACCAAUGGCGAAGGCACUCUACUGGGCCAUUACUGACACUGAGAGACGAAAGCUAGGGGAGCAAAUGGG
RNAcentral lists this ribosomal RNA (253 nucleotides) under uncultured bacterium. RNAcentral's name for it is "partial 16S ribosomal RNA". It matches the Rfam family "Bacterial small subunit ribosomal RNA", at positions 524 to 776 of the family's 1533-position model. The record is from RNAcentral.